Molecule: ribosomal RNA, 434 nt
Filed under: uncultured bacterium
Lineage: Bacteria
Description: partial 16S ribosomal RNA
Rfam family: Bacterial small subunit ribosomal RNA
Source: RNAcentral
AGCGAACGCUGGCGGCAGGCCUAACACAUGCAAGUCGAACGAACCUUUCGGGGUUAGUGGCGGACGGGUGAGUAACACGUGGGAACGUGCCUUUAGGUUCGGAAUAACUCAGGGAAACUUGUGCUAAUACCGAAUGUGCCCUUCGGGGGAAAGAUUAAUCGCCUUUAGAGCGGCCCGCGUCUGAUUAGCUAGUUGGUUGAGGUAAUGGCUCACCAAGGCGACGAUCAGUAGCUGGUCUGAGAGGAUGAUCAGCCACAUUGGGACUGAGACACGGCCCAAACUCCUACGGGAGGCAGCAGUGGGGAAUCUUGCGCAAUGGGCGAAAGCCUGAAGCAGCCAUGCCGCGUGAAUGAUGAAGGUCUUAGGAUUGUAAAAUUCUUUCACCGGGGACGAUAAUGACGGUACCCGGAGAAGAAGCCCCGGCUAACUUCGUG